Long non-coding RNA from Meriones unguiculatus (Mongolian gerbil), 3050 nucleotides. RefSeq lists it as uncharacterized. The record is from RefSeq and is a predicted model, not a curated record. The transcript is spliced from 2 exons. NCBI's taxonomy places the organism in Eukaryota, Metazoa, Chordata, Mammalia, Rodentia, Muridae.
UCCUAGUAUAUAUCUACAAAGAUUCUUUCUGGGAUUAUAAUUACAAUAUAUCUCUAAAUCAAUUUAAUUGACCUUUUUUCUAUCUACUCUCACCCUUCCUUCCUCCUGUACUCCUUCCCUCCAUCUUACCAGAAGCCUACCAGUUUUAAUGAUUUUCAUAGAGUCAACUUUUGUGUUCCUUUCAUUUUUCCUUCUGUUAGUUUACUGAUCUUUGUUUCCAGUCUUUAUUACUCCUUUGUCCUCCUUGACUCUGUUUAAAAAAAAAAUGCGUAGGAGCUGUGGGUGAGGGACCGUUGAAGAUGAAAGAGAAGUGGGAGAUUUGUAUGUUCUUUCUUAGUAGUUUCCUUUUCUGCUCCCUGCAGCAUCAUUCCCUGAUCUCCGUGCCCCGGGAUGUCCAUUUCUUGUUUUCACACUGCACUGAGUUCAGAACAGAAGCAUUAGAGGAACAAGAAGAAAAAAGGGCAAAUUCACCACCAGUUUAGCCACACUCCAAAUUUUAGCCUUUUUCUUUGACUUCCCUGUUCUCGGUUUAUUUUUGAAGCUUCUUGUGUGUUUUUGUUUUUUUUUUUUCUUCCAGAUUCUAUAACUACAGUCAGUCAGAGCAACAAAGGUGAACAUGUCUUUUCCAUCUGCCGAGGACUGGAAAUCCCUACCCCCUUCGUUUUUAAGCCGGGUCACAAUAGUCCUUGGUAUGUGAUACUCAGGCCAUCUUUUACCACCACCUACCACUCCAUCUCUGCGAGCUCCAUAAGAACCAUGAACAAAGAGGAUUGAAACAACCUCAAAGACCUUCAUCCCCAGAAGUGGGAACAUCCCAGAUACUGAAGACGGGAGACAGGCAUUGUAUUGUUUUGUUUUGUUUUGUUUUGUUUUGUUUCCCCAAAGACCAACUGUUUCCUGCUGUAUGAGAACAGGUACUUUUGCUCCGGGGAGAAAACUUACUAAAUUUAGUCUCAGAGCAUCGUGAGCAAAUAUGGUACAUGUUGUCCUAAAGGCCUCCAAAGGAUUUCACAAGCCCUCCUCCAGGCUAGACGGAAAAAAACCGCUUUUUCAUAGAGAGAAAGCCAGAUUUCCUAGUCUCUAAACUCAUGCUUACACACCGUGUUUCCUUACGCUUGGUUGAUUUUUCCCUAGUUUCUGGAACUUUGCAAAGAAUCCAAGGUCAGCUUGAGCUGAGCAUCCUUCCCGCCCUCGUGAAACACAGUACCAACUCUGCUGUGAGUCAAGGGGAAUGGCCCAGUUACAAAUGACUUUCUGUAUGCUCUGCAGAGACACAUGGAGAGGUGAAGCCUGAUCCUAAGUGAGAACUGGUCAUUCCAACCCCCCCCCCACACACACACACCACCCACAUGAACCAAAGAAAUCUUGUGUUACUACAUAGGAUCUGCUUUGAAAACGUAUUCUAAAAUUAAAGUCAGCAUGGAAAUGGAGAGGGUAGAUGGCUCACAUUGAAUGGUCAUUGUGUAGCAGGCCGGUUAUCUCGCCACUGCUUAUCUCACACAAUGAAAGAGGAUCAGAUAAACACAGGCAUAACCUCUGCCUCCAUUGAUAAUGUAAAUCAUCCCUUGUUUCAUUUGUCUUUCCUUCAGGCCAGAUACAAAAGGCAUAGAAAUGAACAAUUCAUGCCUAAACACAGAAGAGCUUGAAAGCGGGCUAUCAAGUGUUGUCUCCUGAGCAGUGCACGGCGUAAUGUGCUAGAGAAACAAUGUGUUUUUUCUCUUCACUUUGUGGAAAUGCCAUUUUUCAUUAUCUGCUGAAUGGGAUCCUGCUGGAAAUUGAGAUGAGAGCAGAGAUGCCCCUCCUGCCGAUGGCCAGGCAUGUCCUGACAAACACACAGCAAAGACCUCCAUGGGAGCCUAGGGAGACCUCCCCCACAGCUCCCCCACAAUGAAGCUGGCAGCGCCAAGCCCUUGAAAGAUGUGGCUCCUUUCAGCCCAUCCAUUUCUGCCGCCCUCUGUUCUCUGCUGAGGGUAUUGUGGGCUGUUGUUGUUUCUCUCAUCCAGUCCAACCAAGGCCCUUCUAAAGAAAAAGCGCCAAGACAAACAGAAUGAGAGCCUUGGGGACCCGGUAAUGGGUACAGAGUGUGAGUGUGGUCAUCAUUCUACUGAUUUGUGCUCAGAUAUGUUUUCUAUUUGCUUUCACACUGAAUGCACAUUCUCCCCCUGGAUCUCAAAUAAUCUGAACCAGGAUAAAACCAUUACAAAGUGGCGUUCAAACACCACUGUCUCUGUUGGAACUGAAUGACUGAUCAGACAUUUAAAUAUGGAAACCAGGAAUUCGGGUGAAUUACAUUAGUUUAAUUGUUGUUGCUGUUUUAAUAGUCAGGGCUGUUUAAUCUUUCCUCUCUUGGAAUCAGUCUCUCUUUCUCUCUCUCUUCUGUCUCUCUCUCCCUCACUCCCUCUUUUUUUACCCCCUCUCUCUCUUCACUGCUCCUUCCUUCCAAUUUUUAUUCACUUCAAUGAUUUGGUUUUUGGUUCAGUACUUCAGAUCAAAUCUGGGGCUUUGGGUAUGGUAAGCACAGUGCCCUACCUCUGAGAAACACUCUUAUCGCCAAAAUUUAGUCUGGUCCCUGAUGCCAAAUAUAAAGAAACAAUUUCUACCUCAUUCCUAACAGAUGGGACAAGGAAUGAAAUUACAACCUAAUUGUCAAGAUCCCAGGUGUCUGGCUACCUUUGCCCUUUCUUUGUGUCAUGAUUCCAGAGGUAACCAACACCUCAUGUCCCUAGUAUCUGCUGCCCAACAUUUUUGAAGUCCAUCUCAGGAAAGAAAACAAAACAAAACAAAACUCCAUGUUACAGGUGGGACGAUUGCUUCAGUUAUUCAUCAUCAUUCCUUCCAGAAGAUGGGUGGAAAAGCCCAGCUGGGAAAUAAAUCUGAGCAUCCUCCACUACAGUGGGAAGGCCCUCCUCUGGCAGCUCCCCGCAUGCCAGCCAAGCAACAGAAUCCUGCCACCAGGCUCCAAGUCCCAGUUUAAUGUCAACUGCUCGUUUCUCAUUUAGUUACUCAAGGAUCAAAUGGAAAUUAUUCAAUAAAAAAGAACUUAAAGGGGA